GAUGAACGCUGGCGGCGUGCCUAAUACAUGCAAGUCGAGCGAACAGACGAGGAGCUUGCUCCUCUGACGUUAGCGGCGGACGGGUGAGUAACACGUGGAUAACCUACCUAUAAGACUGGGAUAACUUCGGGAAACCGGAGCUAAUACCGGAUAAUAUAUUGAACCGCAUGGUUCAAUAGUGAAAGACGGUUUUGCUGUCACUUAUAGAUGGAUCCGCGCCGCAUUAGCUAGUUGGUAAGGUAACAGCUUACCAAGGCAACGAUGCGUAGCCGACCUGAGAGGGUGAUCGGCCACACUGGAACUGAGACACGGUCCAGACUCCUACGGGAGGCAGCAGUAGGGAAACUUCCGCAAUGGGCGAAAGCCUGACGGGGCAACGCCGCGUGGGUGAUGAUGGUCUUCGGAUCGUAAAACUCUGUUAUUAGGGAAGAACAAAUGUGUAAGUAACUAUGCACGUCUUGACGGUACCUAAUCAGAAGGCCACGGCUAACUACGUG
This 497-nucleotide ribosomal RNA is filed under the name uncultured bacterium. RNAcentral describes it as "partial 16S ribosomal RNA". It matches the Rfam family "Bacterial small subunit ribosomal RNA", at positions 28 to 507 of the family's 1533-position model. The record is from RNAcentral.